AAAGCUGAGGCCAGCAAUAAAUAUCAAUAUAUGGAAAGCCAAGCAUGCUUAAAACAGUGUGGUAGGCCCGGAGGAAAGGGCAAACACUGAGAAUAUGAGAAGAAAAGGAGCAAAGUCCCCAAAGGAGAAAGAAGUGUCUUUAUUUUCUACAUUUCCUAUGAAAGGCUAAUUUUGCUGCUUUCAAGCAAUUCAAAAUGAUUAUAGGGUCUGGCUCUGCUGCCCAGGCUGAGAUGCAGUGACAUUACCAUGGCUCACCACAACCUUGAACCCCUGGGCUCAAGCCACCCUCCCACUUCAGCCUCCAGAGUAGCUGGGACUACAGACAGAGCCUUGCUCUGCUGCCAGAUUGGAGUGAAGUGGCGUGAUCUCGGCUCACUGCACCCUCCGACUCCCUGAUUCAAGCGAUGCUCCUGCCUCAGACUCCCAAGUGUCCUUCUGAACAGACCUUCACAUGGAUGAUACUUGUUCCGGGAGAAUGCAGCAUGAACACACAGAUUUGGUCACAAUAACGAAUGCUCCUUUAAAGACCAGCUGAGGAGGCCGGAGAGUGCUAAAAUCAGAAAGGCAAAACAAGGUUAGAAUGGAGCCCAUGCAAAGAAAAUAUGGACCUGAAGAAAAACAAGCUAUGGACUAUCUUCUGUCUCAUGCUAGCAGUGGAGUAGGAAAAGGACUCAAAAGACUUCUACUGGCCAUAAUGAAGUACCUGUUACUAUAUUUGCUUUCCUACCAUAAGCAAAUAUAAAACUGGACAAUGUAUAGGCAACUGAUCUCAUGCAUUUCAAGCAGCACAGGAUUCUGAUAAUUAACAGAAGGAAAGCACAUGAGGAUAAUACUGGAGGCUGCCAUGGGAGAAGUCUGCACAAAAAGAGCAAGUUUAAGAGCUUCAGCAGUCAUAAAUGGCUUGAGAAGAUUAUGCUAGAGAUUGAAGCAGAUGGAAGAUUCUAGAAACAGAAAGCUUUCUUUUCAUUGGUGUGAGUCUUGAAUAUAAAUGGAAAUCAGAGGUCUGUAAUAGCAGGCCAGUGUGGAUAAGGCAGUAAGGUUUUGAGUCUGAGGAGAUGGCUGGGGGCAGUUUGUAGACUUAUUGUUAGUCCACUGUAGAAUUUGAGACUAUAGCCAGGGCUUAAGGUUCCAGUUUCAAAUUAAAGGCAAAAGAAAUCAGCAAUACCAAAAUGAAGACAGAAGCCUGGGAAUUGUGCCUCAAGAUCUGGACUGAGAGGGCAUUUCUACACAACAGCUCUCCUAAGGGCAGGGCUAUGACCGUUGUUGCUAAGCUGUCACCAUCUCUCCUUCCCUAUUAGACUGGCUUCUGUGGGGUAAUUAACCAGUACAAGGAUGUAUGGGAAGCUCUUCUGAGAAGACCUCACAUUAAAACAAAGUGUCCUUAUUCAAGCUGGGUCAUAUUUGGGCACCUUGCUAUUACAGCUUUGAGGAGGGAUAUCAAACUGUCAUAUUCACCUAUGAGUUUAGGAUCAAUGGAGGGAAGAGAACAGAAGGGCCACACAGAAGGGGAAGCUCAGGCACAGACAGCCAGAAGCCAGGUUCACUGUAGAGGUGAGAUUAUCAAAGAUGACCAUACAAAGGCUGCAGAGGCAAGAUGCUUCCAAUAGCCAGGAAGAAUGUGGGCAGGGGAGAAUUUGGUCCAUUCGAAGUUAGAAUGGUAUAUGAAGACACUUGUAAUCAAAUAAAUGGAGAACAUAUUUGUAAAGGGAAAUAAAGUAGGAGUUAAUUUUUUUAACAAAUUAUGAUUGAAAUCUAAAAUGCCAAGAUUAACAUUCUACAAGGGUAUUAAUACAACAAUGCCAUUUUAACUCAAAGAAUGUCUAAAUAUUUGUGCAAAAUAGCUGCUUACUGAUGCUUGUGAAAAGGAAGAGAUUGCUUUCCAGCACACUGUAUCAGAGAGCCAUGAUAAUAGCCAUAGCUUAAGCAGACAAAGUAAAACAUAAAAAUCCAAAAAACUAUCCAUCACUACUACCAUAACUCUUUAAAAAUGCAAAGCUAUUAUUUAUGGCACAUUCCAAUUCAGUUAACUUCCUUGUUGCCUUUAAAUAGAUGCCCCGACUUAAUUGAAGUGUUUUAGUUAAUAACAUAAAAAUAACAAAUUGGAACUAGAAAAUGAUUACAAAAUAGAAAAAAAGCCUGGGAAUGUCAAGUGGUUCUUAAGAAUAUCAGAUAAGUGAGCUCAUUCAAUGAUAGAACAAGAAAUACUAGAGCGAUAAGCUGAAAGCUACAUAGGACUGAAGUUUUUUAGACUCUACAUUUAUCAAAGUAUUGGGUCAAUUUUGUUGUGGACAUCAAAACUAUCUCAAGAAAAAGCUCAAAUUAUUACACUGCACUGGAAUUUUAGUUUAUCCAUUAAGAUUUGCAGGGAGCAAAACAGCAGCUUCCUUGUUAUAAUGCUGUUUGUCCUAAUGAGGGGAACUUAAGGGAGGCAGAGAGAGAAGCACAUACUGUCUUAUUUCAAUAUGAAACCCAAACAGCAAGCAACUGUCUCUUCUACAGAAGUGCAACCUCAAAGAGUUCUGAGAGUUUGUGCCGUAUCACAGCUGGGACCUUGUUGUAGUCCAAAUUAGUGUGUGUUCCUCAAUAUCCUAGGGGAGGUUCAGAUAUCCUUUCAAUCAUUCUCCUGGAAUUCUGGCUUCUGAGAAUUUGAUAUGAAAUGGAAAUUGACUAACACGAAGAAAAGACAGAAACUUGGCCUAAGGCCAACCAUUUUCUUUCCUUAGUACAGGGUAACCAUAUAACUUAUUUUCCAACUUGGACAGACUCCGAAGGGGACUCUUUUAAGAAUUGUGCCAGGACAAUGGGAGUCGGUAGCAACUGUCCCAGGUAAAUGGAACAUACACUCGGUUUAGUCAUAGAGAAUCUAUGUCUAAUAUAUUGUUUCUUUAGUUUUUGUAUACCUUAGUAGCUAAAUAUGACUAAAUGUAGCUAGUCUUUAUAAAGUGUAAGCUUUUUAUUCUUUAAUACUCUGUGGCUUUGUGAGACAAUUUGGUGUCACUUAGGCCCUGUACCUCUGAGUUUACUGAGAAUAAAAACUCAUGAUUCAAAAAGUUAAACAAUCGUUAAUGAAGUAACUCCAAAGAGCCCUAAGAGAUCACACACAUAUGGAUUUCUACUCUAUAAGUUUAAUUAUUCAUAGUACAGAGUGACUUAUGAGAAGCCUCAUGCCUCAUGAAUGAUGAACAUUGAAUCUGUUCAUAAAUAAUAGAUUAAACUUUAAAUCAACAACCAUUAGAGAAAACAGAAAUGUAUUAUGGUGAGUUUCAUUCAUAUAUAUAUCUGCCCUUUUCUAUAUAUUUUAAUUAAACCAAUUUAAGUCAUAAAUUCUUCAAUUAUAAUUCAGGCAUAGGUUCUUUACUCAAAAACGAAAGAUAGUCAUCUGGCAUUAAAAGAGGAAGAAGGAAGUGAUCACUAACAGCUGGAAUCAAUGGUCAUAUGUAAAUAUAAACCAUGGUUCUUGGGGCCACUGUUUGUUUUUGUUUCGUGUUUUUUUUGCCAAUAUUGAAAUUGUCCUGCAAUGUCAAAGUCAUCUUUCUAAAUCUAGUUGCUAAUACUAUGGCAUCCUUUUUUUUGCUAUUCUUAGUAUUGUAAGAAUGCGAACUCAGAACCUAUUAAUAGAAAGUCUUCCCUUUGGAAAACGGAGCUUAGACCCAGAAAGGAGGGUGCUGCAUUACCAGCUCUCUGCUCUCCUCCUCUGAACAGUCUCUCCCCUAGGUUUCCCCUCCUCCUCCUCCUCCUCCUCUCCCUGCAGAUUGGUCCCUCCAUCUCUUCGCCAUUCUGACCCCUUUAAAUUUCUUUGUAUAGAAUUUUUUUAAUAAAAUUUCUUUUUAUAGCUAGA
Pongo pygmaeus (Bornean orangutan) is the source of this 3838-nucleotide long non-coding RNA. RefSeq lists it as uncharacterized. Lineage: Eukaryota; Metazoa; Chordata; Mammalia; Primates; Hominidae. The record is from RefSeq and is a predicted model, not a curated record. The transcript has 6 exons.